AUGAAACUUCGAUUUUUUGUAUUAAUAACCGGACUUUUUUGUAUCUCGAACCAGGAAUUGGUGUCGAAAGCUGAAGGAUGCUUCCUGCGAUGUGUUGCACAAUGUGUCGCGUUUGUUGAAAAGAGCGAUUCUACACAACAGUCUUUAGAUGCUUGCAAACCACAAUGCCAGAAACUUAAUAACAAAAACUUAUGUUCAGACAAUACUUGCUGGAGCACGUGUAAUGGAGAAUUAGUCCCUGAAAAAACACUACCAGCACCGACGAAUCUGACACUGAAAGGUGUCCGUGGACUCUCGUGGAGCCCGGUGCCUGGAGCUGUUAUGUAUUAUAUCGGAUAUCGAACAUUGAACAGUAAAACGUUUACCAGUGACGACUUUGUGAUUACGGAAAAGCAAACCGUCGAUCUGAGCACUUUGACAAACAUCGAUCCAUGCUCCGAACUCGAGGUUGCAGUUGCCGCGUUUUCAGAAGAUGGAAUUGGAAAUGAGAGUAAAGAAUUGAAGAUAUCAAGUCCAAAACCAACAGCCAAUCCAAAAUUGGAUUUAUUGGAAUUACAAUACCUUAAUACCACCCUCGUCAGUGACUUCUACCAAGCCAAUGCAACUGUACACGUUGAGUUCCGAUAUAAAACAGAUCCUUGGUUCCUUGGCCCGGACGAUUUGGAUGUUCAACCAUUAUUUCACCUGAUCUCCUGUGUAGACCCAGAUCUAAGCCAAGGAAUUCCAGUUCCAGAUUUUGAUGUUCACGUGAAAAACAGUACGAUCUCUACUUCAAUUGGAUCCGAUAUGAUGGAUCGAAAGUGUCGUUACGUGUAUUAUUUGCAGAGUGUAAUGAGCAAAAAGUGCAAUACAAUGACAGAAAUGCCAUCCCCACCAUCUUCAGCUUUACAAACAAUUCAAGUUGAAUGCGACAUUGUAAAAAAUGCGCCAUGUGUCAAAGUUCCCAGUUAUCAACCGCCGCUUUGUGGAAUGGUGGAAAAUGUUGCAUUUUCUGUUUUGUCUCGUGACCGUGAAAAUCUCAAUGAUCCAGCUUCCAAUCUGACAGUCAAUGUGACAUUCAUACCAGUUACCAGAAAUAAUGAAAUGCCAACACUGUAUUACAUUGGAAUUUUUGGAACUGCUUCUGAAUAUCAUACAAAGGAAGAGGAAACAUUUUUGGGUGUAAAUAUUACUCACGUUAUUGGGAAAGAAUCAAGCUGUACUGGGUUCGAUAGUUCUGGGAAUUGUUUGGCGGAAAAUCUGAAUCGCUCUAUUGUAUUACAAGGUAUCCAUCCGAAAACCUUAUACGGUCUUACUAUCUGCGCUGUAAAGGAUAUUCGAAACUUGACUCUACCGGAUGUCACAUUGGAUUCAAAAUCGUUCAGAGCAAAAGCUGAUAGGAUUAUGCUUGUUGCCCAUACUCACCACACUUAUUCACUUGUUCCUUAUCAAUUACUAAUCCAACCUGACGAUUUAUCACCCACUAACUCUAAAUCUCGGGAACCACGGGAAUCUGAUGACUAUGAAGAUCAUAACGAAGCAGUGAAUAUCACUGAAACUGAAGCAACUGGGAACCUUUCAUUUGUCUACCAUCGGUCAUUUUGGGAUAAUUCAACGGACAGUUCACUCGUGAAUAUAACCGAAAGCUAUAGAACACUACCAUUUAACCAAACAUUAAACGGGACAGAUUAUGAAGAAUACGAAGAUUUCAAUUCAACUACCACAACUACAACCACUACAGUUACCAACAUCCCAACGGAAAGUGAAAAACAUCGGUGCGAGCAACAACCCUGUUGGAAUGAUUAUUGGAAUUGUCAUUGGUUCACUGGUCGUUAUCCUAGUCGCAAUUGUAGUUAUUUGGUUCUAUUUCCGAAAGAAAUCUGAAAAUAUGAAAUUUAAAUUCCAAAUGGAACAAGUUGGAAAGAAUAAUAUGAAUCGAUACAUAGACUUCCCAAUUAUGGCAGCUAAAAACGAUAUUUGGGAAAUCGAGCGUCGCAACUUGAUUAUCCACAAUGACAAGAAGCUUGGCUCCGGUGCUUUUGGUGCAGUUUACCUUGGAAAAUUAAUUGGUAAAUCGCUGGCUCACAAAGAUGCGAAUUCUCCACUUGGAAUCAACUUGAUGCGUGCUGAAAACUGUCAGGUCGCUGUGAAAAUGCUUCCAGAAUAUGCAGAUGAAAUGUCCAAACAUGAGUUUCUCAGAGAAAUCGCUUUGAUGAAAACUCUAGGCUAUCAUGAAAGACUUGUCAACAUGUUGGCAUGUGUCACAGAAUCCGAGCCACUUUGCCUGGUUGUCGAGUACUGUGACAACGGAGAUUUGCUUAAGUUUUUGAGAGAAAGAUGCAAGUACAUGAUGAAGCUUGAUGAUCUCGGAAUCAACUAUCAUGAUCCACCAGAAAAUGAAAAUUAUGACACAAAUAUGAUUGUCACUCUGAAGCAGCUUCUGCAGUUUGCAGUUCAAAUUAGCUAUGGAUUGGAAUACCUUUCCCAAAAAGGGUUCGUCCAUCGUGAUGUGGCUGCGAGAAACGUUCUUGUUCACGAAGGAACUGCAUGUAAAAUUGGAGAUUUUGGGCUUUGCCGUUAUAUUUAUGCUGAUCAGUCCCAGUACAAGAGCAAGGGAGGAAAACUACCACUCAAAUGGAUGUCACCAGAAGCAAUUCGACACUACGAGUUUUCGAUUAAAAGUGACAUCUGGUCAUUUGGAAUCCUUCUAUUUGAAGUUAUCACUCUCGGUGGCUCUCCGUAUCCUGGAAUGCCUCCAGAGGAUGUUCUUCCAUUCUUGGAGGGUGGUGGUAGAAUUGAAAAACCAGACAAUUGUCCCGAAAACUUCUACGAUGUAAUGAUGCAAUGUUGGAAUGCGGAUCCAGAUGAUAGGAUAGAGUUUUCGGAUGUUCGAAUGCAGCUCGCGACACAGUUGGAAGAUAUCACUGAAGACUACAGUUAUCUGAAAUUGGACGCCGCGAAAGAUUAUUAUAAUGUUCAAUACGGCGAUGAAAAGAAAACGGACGUCGUAAUCAUCCCAGAUGAAAUCAUCAAGCCAUCAAAGCUAAUAAUGGACGAUAUCUCAGAAAAGAAUCUAGUAAUUGAGCAAUAG
Molecule: RNA transcript, 3070 nt
Organism: Caenorhabditis elegans
Lineage: Eukaryota; Metazoa; Nematoda; Chromadorea; Rhabditida; Rhabditidae
Gene: hir-1
Gene name: Non-coding transcript of protein-coding gene hir-1
Exons: 19
Source: RefSeq, marked reviewed